CUGGAUUCUGCUGAUUGCGGGAAAUAAUACCCACCAACUCCUCCUGCAACUCCAACUGAGACAAGCCUUGGGGAGAGAAUAGGAGGAGGAAGUGGAAAGGGGGGUGGGGGUGGCAGAGAAUGGAAAGUUAGAACAAGCGGUUGGACCAAACCCAACAAGGAGAAGACAGAGGAAAAGAAGACAUGAACAGAGACAGACUCUUAGAGGGGGGAAAGAGGUACUUCUAAAUCGAGCCAUGUCCUUAAGGAGAGCUCUUCCAUUCCCCCAAUUACACACAUACACCCGCAUACCAGAGGAGGCUGGUGGGAGGAGCUAUAGCACACACACACACACACACACACACACACACACACACACACACACACACACACACACACACACACACACACACACACACACACACACACACACACACACACACACACACACACACACACACACACACACACUUGUCCAGUGCUCUCAUCUUUUUGCCUCCCCAGCACCACCUUCAUCAAUCCUCCUCUCCCUCUGUCCUCUACUUCCCUCAUUUCCUCUCGUCCUGGUCUCCCUCUCCUCCUUGAUGGUCUUUCUCACACACCGUGACUAUCUAUCACAAACAGAGCUGCCACCGGAUUAAGAAAGAAGAAAGUUAGUGUAGGCAGCCAGCCCCUCCUGCUGGCCACAGCCAGAACAGACCCAGCCAUGGUGUCCUUCUUGAGAAACAGAGCAAGGGUAGUGUGUUAUUGAUUCAGUGAUUCAUUGUGGUGGAGGAAUUAAUCUAUGAUUACAGGACUAAUCAAAGUCAUCGGAUUAAUUUGUCUUGCUAAAGGUCGCUCCAUCUUUGUGAAUAAAAUACGGGUGACUCUGCUGAUUCAUUUGUGUUAAUAGGCGUGUUUACAUGUAAUACAUUCUGAGCUCUAUUGGACUCAAACAUAGGCAACUUCAGCUGAGCAACAUAGAAUGAGGUAUGUCAUGUUCUAAUUGAUCGAGAGUGCUUAACUGAAUGAGGCGUCAUACCUCAACAUGGUGAAUAUUGAUGCUGACGGUAAUGCUCUGAUUUCCAACGCUUUAACUGUGUUUAAUCUCAGAGGAGAUUCGUAUUGAUGUGAAGGCAAUGAUGCCUGACUGAAGGGUGCCAUGCCUCACUGUCUGCCUCUUCAACUGAGAAGGGGGUCUGAUCAGAACAAGGGGGGAGAGGAGAGAUGACACAGUGAUGAUGAAUAUCUGUUUGUUCCUGUUUCAUCAGUACCAAACACCAACCAAGAAUUUACGGUGCGUUCAAUUCAAGCACAAUUGGAGCCAUUUGACAUUGUGCUAUUUAAAUUAGAAUUACCUUUUAUCUUUAGAAUACGACACUUCAAGUUGGAUAUUGUUAGGGUUGAACUGGCUAUUUGUUUGCAUAACUUAUAUAAUAUACUGGGGAAGCUAUGCUACAAUAUUAAAUAUAUAAACUACGGAUAAGUCAACUGCUGAAGACAAGAACUACAAUCGGCGACAGGAAGUGCGUCACGAGGCUGGGACCAGCCUGCACGCCGACGAUAGGAGGAGCAAGUUUAAACCACGCUCCUCCUCCCUCUGACAGGCCAGCAUUGAGCGGGAACUUUCACUGUCAGAGUAUAAAAGAGAGAACAAUAGGAUGGGAUGCUCUCUUCUCUGUCUGCCCUGCGAGGUGUCACAGAGAGACCGUAUACGAACAACAUAUUUACCAUACACGUGUUUGCAUUAAUUAAAGUACAAAUAAAUCAGAAGUUACUAUGUGCUGACUAUUUUGUUCUGAUACCAGAAACGAAUUGACGCAACUUUAACAAUAUGGAAAUGAAUCAGUG
Molecule: long non-coding RNA, 1808 nt
Filed under: Salmo salar (Atlantic salmon)
Lineage: Eukaryota; Metazoa; Chordata; Actinopteri; Salmoniformes; Salmonidae
Description: lncRNA (ENSSSAG00000094395.1)
Source: RNAcentral